Molecule: long non-coding RNA, 496 nt
Organism: Dipodomys ordii (Ord's kangaroo rat)
Lineage: Eukaryota; Metazoa; Chordata; Mammalia; Rodentia; Heteromyidae
Exons: 2
Source: RefSeq, a predicted model, not a curated record
CUUAUCACCACUGACCCCUCAACCAGGUCCCCUUACAACUUUAAGGACCAGGUGAGAAGUGAGCUCCCUAAAGAAUAAAGAACAAGUUAAUCUCAUUAAGUGAUGAUAGGAGAGUCACUCCGCAGAUCCUAGAGGCAGUCUCAGUUGGACUCUGCAGGUCGCCCUAUAAUCCCAGUACUAGUGAAGUAGAGAUCCAGAGGAUAGUGGUUCCAAAGUCAGCCCAAAACUAGUUGCAAAAACUUAGCAAGAAUCUAUCUCAACUAACAAGCCAGGUAGCGUGGGACAUGUCUGUGCCCAUGACUGUAAUCCUAGCUUUCAAGAGGCCUAGGGUAGGAGGCAUCAAAGUCUAAGGCUGGCAGUUAGCAAAAAGUCAAGACACUACUGAAAAAUAACAAAAGCCAAAAAGAGCUGAGAGCAUGGCUCAAAUGGCAGAGUGCUUAACUAGUAAAUUGAGGCCCUGAGUUCAAAACCCUAAUACCACCAAAAAUCAAACAAA